GAUCACCGAACGUUGCGGGGCUCCGUAUGUUGAACUCGGACCGCUCGGAUAACCUCCACCGCCGCUGUUGCCUCCUGUGCUCGGAGGAAAGUACGAAUCGACUGGCGGUUCCGGUGCGGGCUUUGCAAGACAGCCCAAUGUACACCCCACGAUCAGAAUCAACUGUUGGGUUUUUAUAAAACAAAUGACCCUUUAACUCUUUGAUUAUUGAAAUAUUUUUUGGAAUAUUUCACAUUUUAAAGUGAGCAGUCGAAUCAGAGCACGGAAAUGGGUAAUCGCGACACUGCUAAAAUCUUAUUUGCUCGACUGCAAUACAAGAUAGUUGAUAUUUUGCGUAAUUUUUUUACUGCAAUGAAAUAACUAAUAAAUCUCGUCAUUUUCCCGACUACUUUCAACGCGAAUCGAGAAGAUUUCGUCAAAAAAGUGCUUGCAUCGAAAUUUUUUAUCAUUUUUCCAACUCUUACGAUCUGUUGCAUUAGCGGAAGCGUCAGCGGGAUUGGAUUUCUGAAAAACGGUGAGUAGAUGAAAAGUUAUGAAAAUUUCACUGCCAAUUAUGGACAAUUCGACGGUGAAGUUUUGUGGAAAUUUUUUCGCUUCAAGCUUAUUGUCGAUGUCUACCUCAGCGACGAAGGGAUUUAACUAAUUCAGUAUAUUAUUAUUGCGCACGAGAGAUAUUCGUUUAGGAAACGUGAAAUGUGACACAGACGUACCGUAGGAUUGAGCAAUACGUAAAAAUCGAGUUAUUCAUUUAAUUUCAAUGACUGAUGGUCAUUCGAAGGUAUGAUUAAAGUGAAUUAUAUAAGGCCCAAAGAUGGGAAGGGGAAAAUCUCACGGAACAAAGAAAGGAUCGUGUGUAUCGUGUGAAGGAAAGUUGUACUCGAAGAUGAAGCUGCUCCCGAUGCUACUCGGAAAAAAAAGAACAAAAAAGCAGAUCGAAGGGUGGACGACCUCCGAGCGCAAAGUAAUUUCAACGCUUUCGCGAUUCACCUCGAUAUUCGUUCUUCGUGUUUAGCGCUCACCGACUGUGGAGAGAGUAAAUUGAAAUAUGGAACGAAUUGAAGUAGCUGAUGCAUCGUUACAUUGUCCGUUGAGGGGGAGAAAAAAAAUUCUGAAGGAACGAAAUUCAAGUGCCUGUCCUUUCACGUCGAAGCUUCAGUUCAAAAGAAAUUAAUCAAUGUGAAUAAAAAAAUGUUCAAAUUUAUUUUUCGACCAGUCAAAUUCCAUCGAAAUUACCAAAGUUUCGAUUCUUCAGAGUUCAAUUAUAAUCUCGCUCGUGCGCGAAUUAAUAAACAAAAGCCCGAAAAAAAAAAUACGGUCGAAUAGAAAAUUUAAAGUUGAUUUUGACGUCGAAACGACUGACCGACAAAAUUGUAACUUUCGUUUCUCUUCGUGUAAAAAAAGGAUAAAAAAAAGCGCGUUUGAAGCGAAGAAUACCCGAACAAUUUUGACAUCGUCGGGGUCCGCGCAGCGGCAUAAUUAUCGUUGGGUUGCGCGUUCGUAUAUUCGCGAAAAUACUCGUGGUGGCACAAAGUGCGCUAAUUACUUCCUGUAGAAAGCAUCUCGAGCGAGUGCGCUCGACUUAAUUUUGUAUUUUUAUUAUUUCUUCUUAUUUGUCUUCAUUGCUCACGACUCCGUCGGUGUUCGCCUCGGCACAAUGAUCAUCAUCAUCAUUUUCAUGAUUAUCGCGGUGCUCGAGAUUUCGUCAAGUGCGAAGAAAUUAACCGAGGACCGACGUGGAAACGAAAAAAAAAAGCAAUCGUCGACCAAAGUACAGGAAUAAAAGGGAAAAAAAUGGACCGAAAAAAUGUCUGGUGACGAAGCGAAACAGCGAACCGUACGAGGAGAUGAAAAAUCGAAGAAAAAUAGAAAUUGGCGAAGGUGGAAAGUGGACUGGACGAUAAUCACUUACGAUGGAAGAAGACUGCAUUUUUGCGAGACACUAAAGGCCGAACGUUCAGCGACGUAAAAGCAAAUUUUCGAUGAUGUUGUAACACAAACUUGCUUAUUAUUUGUUUAUUUAACGAAAACGGAAGAAAUGCGAUUCCGAAACACCGGAAUAAAACAACGGAGAACGAACCGAUCGACGAACCGGAUUAAGUAACACUCGCUCUUACUGGAGCACUCGUACACCGGAGUGUGUGCUCUACUGGCGUUGUCUUUGAAACUUUUAUACCUCGACCCCCCCUAGAUCGAGAAUUUUCUCAUCGUGUGUGAGUCUGUAAAAAGGGGGCAAUGCGUAUACACAGUCUGGGAUUAUAUAGAGCGAUGGUGUGGUUCGGGUCUGCUCCACCUCGAAGAAACGAUCGUACGUACGUACUCGAAGAAACUCCUUCACCUGUCCGUCCCUCGUACGAGCCAAUGCUCUUUCCCAUUCGAUUCGGACGUCGAGUUUGUACAUACGAGUCAUCAUUAUCGUCCUCAUCAUCACCACCAUCCUCGAGAACGACCUCCGCGUAUUCGUAUUAGAUCGAAAAGAGAUGCCCGGAGAAAUAUAGUGGGGGCAGGCCCGCGGUGAGAGGUUUUUCGACGCUCGCGGAUAUGGUGAAUCCAGUGCGAAUGUAACGAAAGUGCAUUCAGCAGGUGGAACGCACUAAACGUUUCUGAAACGCGUGAUCCCGGACAGCGGGCACACUCGUUGGCAACGAAUCUUCGCCUUUGGCAAUCUCCAGUUAAAGUAUAAUAAAAAUUACCGUCUCGGGCUGAGGUAUUAUGGAUAAAUAAAUAAACAUUGAGAUGGGGAAGGAAUGUGCCAGAGAGCGAGGACACUGCAGCGUCACGUUUCCGGGGACAUUAUUACUUUGAAAGGGUUUUCGAAGAAUUAACGGAGUGUCGGAGGAUCGGUGAAAAAGCGACGAUUUACUGGUAGCGAUUACGACUGCGAGGGAAGGCUCUUGGGCGGAACGUAUGGCGAGGAGUUUGUCCGCUCGAUAGUCGAAGAAUCUUGGAGGACUGUGGGAUACGCCAUUGUGCUUUCCCUCGUCGUAUCGAAAGGUCAGUCUCGUUAACUUUCGUCACUUUGAGUCGUGAAGCGUCCUCAUUUUGUCGUCCAAGAGGCAAAUAAUUCAAGGAUUUUGGCGUGUAGAUGUGAAUCGCGCCUGGUUUUCUCGUCAAGUUUAAUAACGUUGUUACGAGAAGGAAUCGGGGCUUCGAGAUCGAAAGGCAAAGAGGUGCCAAUAACUGGGGGCUCGAUGUUCCAGGAAAACUGACAAUAAUCUCAGAGCUCCUCGUCGCGUUGAUGUAGUAACACAUCGCAGCUCGUUUUGCCGGGUUGCGCGAAACAAAAAAACGUCGUACACGAAACGGAGCAUCAAUUGUAGGGAACACCUUCGCAACCGCAUAUGCACAGGAUAUUACGAACCCGCAGCGAGCGAGCAUUAGAUCCGAUCUAAAUGAGAUACGUGAGGACUGACAAAACACUUUUGCGCUCGGACCCCGAACGCACUUUUCAUGGAGCACAAUGAAGCUACGAAAUCAUUUUAAUAACGCUAAUUUCGUGAAAAACCAAUGGACAAAGGGCGGGGAAGAUGAAAAUAAUGGGCCAUCGGAUCAGCAAACGAAUUCGGAGUUUCUAGCGACGUAAUAAAAAUGAGAAAAUUCUUUGCGGGGAUAAAUACAGCGAUGCAGUCGAAACAGAAAGAUUCUCGGAGCUCGAAGUGAAUUGCCGUUAAGAGUUUUGGAGAAAAAAAAUACCAAAAAGUGCGACAUUCGCUGGAGAAUCCGUCACGGGAAAUGGACCGCUCCCGAUUGCUGAACGACCCUAAAGAACAGCCACGGAAACUCCGAGGACGAGGCUCCAGAGAUUCGACCUGGAAAUGGUGCCUGCGGUCUGCGACUCGAUUGCCUCGGUCCACGGAUCGAUGACGAUCGCUCUGGCCCAGAGCGGGCUCCGCUUCGCGUGUACGAGAAAGGUCCAGAUUCGAAAAUGAAUUCGAUUAUCGCAACGAGUCGAGCGGCUCGGCUGAUCCUGCUUUUUUAUUCUUCGGCCCGUUCGAUCGAGUGCGUGCAGUAUCCUGCGAGUAGAAAGGCACUCUCGGCUCGACAGAAUCUGCAGCGAUCCUGGCUCGUCCUCUCUCCAUCACCGUUAUUUCAGCCGGUUCGUUUACCGGCAGCCGGUUUACUUACGAGAGAGCCUGAUGGAUCGUCCGAACGAGCUUCUCCCACCAGACCGAAUGUGAGCUUGGAGAAAAGCCACCGCAGGAAGCUGGGGCCGGCGUGCGAAUCCUCCCGCCGAGUCUCCUGCUGAUCCUGAUGCGAUUCUUCUUGCUCGUCCUGAGGAUCGGGCAGGAAGGGAGCCAAGCCGCCGAGGUCGUCGAGGAAACUGAGGUCGAUGCCUUCCGUGGUGGUCUCUUGGCCGAGGAACACAGGAAUCGCGGGACCGAUGUAGUAUCCUGGGGAUGCGUCAUCUUCCUGGAGGCUCCUCGAGUCGCUUCCUCCGGCAUCCCCGUCCUCGCGGCGCUCUCCCGCUUCCGCUUCGUCAGGCUCGGGUUUUCCGCUGCUUCCAGGAAUUUUGUAGAUCCUCCAGAUCGUGUGCUCGCUCGGAUCGACGUCCAGUUGUUCCGGGGGAACUUGGCUAUUGUAGGGAAUGAAUUUCCAGGUCUGAGCGGGUCCUCCGGAGGCGGAAGAGUCUCCGGCGAAGGGCCAGAAAGUCUUCCUCGAUCUUUCAUUCCCUGGCGAAGAGUUCGCAGAGAUCGUCAACAACGCUGCGAUACCAAGAGCUCGAUAGAUCAUGGAAUUUUUCAUCAUCGACGAGGGACGCUCGACGUCCGGAGAAGAAGGCACACGCGUAACGAGCUAUUCGGCCAGACUGGCCGAAUUCUAGUCCGGAAAGAGUACUUAAGGAGGCCCUCCGAGCGACGAUCGACAAAUCGACGAAUCGUCGAGUUUCCCCGAGCAACCGCCCUAAUGGGCAUCGUUAAUCGGAAAAUGAAGCGUUCGGGGGCAUUCACCGCGUUUAAUAUUCCAGUCGAAAGCAAAGCACGAGAAGCUUCGAGAACCGCAUUGUUCGAACCACAGCGGUGUUUCUCAGAUUCGCUACCGAUUUUAAUCGAGAAGACGUUCGUUUAUCAGCCGCACAUAUCGAAAGUGUUGCGCGGACGUACGAGGAAAUAAGUGUUCGUUUCUCGUCAGUCUGCUACGGACUUCCAGAUGAAUUACGCUCGCGUACGGACUUCCUCUACCGCAUCGGUAGAAGCUGCACACCACGAAGAAGCCCCAGCACGUCAGCCGAGGACCUCGAAACGUGCGUGUAAGCAGCUGUUACGUCUUACGAGAGUGCAUAGCUUCGAGACUCCGUACAUACGAAAUAAACGGUUUUGCUGCGCGGCACGACGAGAUUCCUACUUAACAGGAAGAUCGCUCUCGCGGGUGAGAGUGGAUCCGAGAGUUGUACAUGUGAGAGAAAAACACGGGCGGCCGGGAAUAAGAAAGGGAAAAACGGUGGAUCACGAGGAUUCGAGCGCGGGUGAAAGCGGGCCCGUUGGAUCAAAGGUCGCGACACCUGCUCGCUCGGACAAUCUCAAUAAGAAUUCCUCCUGCCAUUAUCUUCCUUGUACUCAAAUCGUGUGUAUAAACUUGGAAACUCAUUUAACACGAAUUAAGAAGAUUCUCAGGACUCGAGCGUUCGUUUCGUUGUUGUUGCUGUUGCUGUUACUUUUCUCCAUUCAAUUAAAUAUUGGGCAAUCCCUCA
This is a long non-coding RNA of Venturia canescens, 5686 nucleotides long. RefSeq lists it as uncharacterized. The transcript is spliced from 7 exons. Lineage: Eukaryota; Metazoa; Arthropoda; Insecta; Hymenoptera; Ichneumonidae. The record is from RefSeq and is a predicted model, not a curated record.